UGCGCAGGUGGGCUUGUAAGUCAGUGGUGAAAUACUGCCGCUUAACGGUAGAACUGCCAUUGAUACUGCAAGUCUUGAAUAUGGUUGAGGUAGGCGGAAUGUGUUGUGUAGCGGUGAAAUGCAUAGAUAUGACACAGAACGCUGAUUGCGAAGGCAGCUUACUAAGCCAUUAUUGACGCUGAGGCACGAAAGCGUGGGGAGCGAACAGGAUUAGAUACCCUGGUAGUC
RNAcentral lists this ribosomal RNA (228 nucleotides) under uncultured bacterium. RNAcentral describes it as "partial 16S ribosomal RNA". It matches the Rfam family "Bacterial small subunit ribosomal RNA", at positions 568 to 795 of the family's 1533-position model. The record is from RNAcentral.